UUGCUGGGAUAGUUCAGUUUGUAGAGCAUGAGACUCUUAAUCUCAGGGUCAUGGGUUUCAGCCCACAUUGGGCAAA
Molecule: non-coding RNA, 76 nt
Organism: Podarcis lilfordi (Lilford's wall lizard)
Lineage: Eukaryota; Metazoa; Chordata; Lepidosauria; Squamata; Lacertidae
Source: the annotation of a GenBank genome assembly